UUGAACGCUGGCGGCAUGCUUUACACAUGCAAGUCGAACGGCAGCGGGGGCUUCGGCCUGCCGGCGAGUGGCGAACGGGUGAGUAAUGCAUCGGAACGUACCCAGUCGUGGGGGAUAACUACGCGAAAGCGUGGCUAAUACCGCAUACGCCCUGAGGGGGAAAGCGGGGGACCUUCGGGCCUCGCGCGAUUGGAGCGGCUGAUGUCGGAUUAGCUGGUUGGUGGGGUAAAGGCCUACCAAGGCGACGAUCCGUAGCUGGUCUGAGAGGAUGAUCAGCCACACUGGGACUGAGACACGGCCCAGACUCCUACGGGAGGCAGCAGUGGGGAAUUUUGGACAAUGGGCGCAAGCCUGAUCCAGCCAUGCCGCGUGAGUGAAGAAGGCCUUCGGGUUGUAAACUGCUUUUCUACAGGAAGAAUUUUGACUGUACUGUAGGAAUAAGGAGCUGCAAACUACGU
Molecule: ribosomal RNA, 458 nt
Filed under: uncultured bacterium
Lineage: Bacteria
Description: bacterial SSU rRNA
Rfam family: Bacterial small subunit ribosomal RNA
Source: RNAcentral